Molecule: ribosomal RNA, 379 nt
Filed under: bacterium gwi42
Lineage: Bacteria
Description: bacterial SSU rRNA
Rfam family: Bacterial small subunit ribosomal RNA
Source: RNAcentral
GGUGAGUAACACGUGGGUAACCUGCCCUGUACUCUGGGAUAAGCCCGGGAAACUGGGUCUAAUACCGGAUAUGACCACUUUGCGCAUGCUUGGUGGUGGAAAGUUCCGGCGGUACAGGAUGGACCCGCGGCCUAUCAGCUUGUUGGUGGGGUAAUGGCCUACCAAGGCGACGACGGGUAGCCGGCCUGAGAGGGUGACCGGCCACACUGGGACUGAGACACGGCCCAGACUCCUACGGGAGGCAGCAGUGGGGAAUAUUGCACAAUGGGCGAAAGCCUGAUGCAGCGACGCCGCGUGAGGGAUGACGGCCUUCGGGUUGUAAACCUCUUUCAGCAGGGACGAAGCGUGAGUGACGGUACCUGCAGAAGAAGCACCGGCU